GUGUUGUAUGAAAGGAGAGAGGCUUAGCACUCCCCUUGACAAGGAUGGAAGAAGCCCUUGAGCCUAACAACCAAUUGCAGUUAAGACGUUGCCACCUACUUUGUAGCAUCUAACCAUUUUUUUUU
This 125-nucleotide non-coding RNA is filed under the name Catagonus wagneri (Chacoan peccary). Lineage: Eukaryota; Metazoa; Chordata; Mammalia; Artiodactyla; Tayassuidae. The record is from RNAcentral.